CCUGAAUCAAAAGCAGAGCAAAAAGAGAAAAAGCAAAGCAAAGGUAAGAACAAAGAGAAGCAGCAGCAGCAGCAACAACAACAAGGUGACCAAGAAAGCAGUGAUGAAGGCAACAAGAACCCAGCAGAAAAAGAAACAGUGAAAGAACCUUCCAAAAGCAAAGAAAAUGGAAAUGGCGGCGCUGGCACUAGCAAGAAUGUUGAAAACAAUGGUGCUGUUCAUCAUGUUAUCAAAGUUAAUGAGGUUGGUGGGCAAAUAGCCAAGGAGUCAAAGCCUGAUCAGGUGAAGCAAACUGUGACCUUCGCGGCCGGUGGCCAGUCGCCGGUUGGUGACAAGAAAGCUGGUGAUUAAAACCAAAAAAAGAAAAGAAAAAAAAGGUGUAAUCGUAUUAACAAUAUUUGAUAGGAAAAUCUUUUAUACUAAUAAACUGUGCUGUCUAUUGGUAUAAUUAGAACCAAAUACAUGUAAUCUUAGCUAGCAAAAAGGAAUUAAGCGCAAAAGGCAUCAAAUGCUAAAAUCAUAGGUGUCCCUUAUAAAUUAUAAUAACAGGAAAGUAGACUUAAAAAAUUUAUAUUUAAAAAACAAUUUCAGUUCAUAAAAGCAGGUACUAUGCCCACCCCACCAAGCAUCAAGCACCAAACCCAAGGACCUACUUGAUUUUUCCUCUCUCUCUUCCCCUCCCACUUUAAGCCUUCAGUUUCAUUGCUUCUUCUUAAGCAUUUGAACACUUUCCUUCUCCCUAUUCCUCUCAGUUAGAAUCCUUCGGUUUUGAGUUCCCAACCUUUUUAUCAACAACCCCUUUGGCCUUUUGCGUAUUCUCUCUUUCAGGAACCCACCAAACUUCUUUUUUUUUCUUUUUUUCUUUGUAGUAAUGGCAACAGCAGCACCAGAGGCUAAAGCUGAAACUAAACCUGAAUCUAAACCAGAAGCUAAUAAGGAGAAAGAAGCUGGAGAAAAUCAAGAACAACUUAAGUGUAAGGUAACAAUUGAACCAAAUCAUACUUUGCAUGGUUCACGUUGUAACUUGAUGGUGUCAUUUUUGUGUGUGUGUGUUUCUUCUGUUUUUUCACUUGUUUCCUCUUUUUUCAGACAUGGGUGUUGAGAGUCUCCAUCCACUGUGAAGGCUGCAAAAGGAAAGUACACAAGAUCCUAACAAACAUUGAUGGUAUGUGUUAAUACUCACUGAACCCACCGGAUUUCUUUGAGAAAUUUUCUUUUUUAAGAGGAAUUUCUUUAAUUUUUAGUCAUAUUGUUGCUAGAAUAUUCAAUUUUUAAAUUAAGUUUUUACUACUGAUCUUUUCUUUUCUUUUCUUUUUGUCUUUGUGUUAUAUACCUAGUUCUAUACUCUAUCGUUAGUUCUGUACUCUUUCAGCUCAAAACUCAAAGCUUCAAUUUUUCUCAACUGGGUUUUGUUCAUUUUUGGUAAUUUUCCCUCCAUUUUUUCUUCUCAAGCUUCUUGACUCGGCAUCUAAUAGUUCAUAAUUUUCUCAUGCAUCCAGAUUCUGAUUUCAUUUCCCUCAAAAUGUCAGCUUUUUAAAUUCUUGACCAGUUUGCUAAUUUGGUUCUAAUAUUUAUUUCGCAGGUGUUUAUACCACAAAAAUUGAUUUGAGGCAACACAAAGUGGUAGUAAAAGGAGAUGUAGCUGCUGAAACUUUGAUCAGGAAACUGGAAAAGAAUGGGAAGCAUGCUGAGUUAUGGCCUGAAUCAAAAGCAGAGCAAAAAGAGAAAAAGCAAAGCAAAGGUAAGAACAAAGAGAAGCAGCAGCAGCAGCAACAACAACAAGGUGACCAAGAAAGCAGUGAUGAAGGCAACAAGAACCCAGCAGAAAAAGAAACAGUGAAAGAACCUUCCAAAAGCAAAGAAAAUGGAAAUGGCGGCGCUGGCACUAGCAAGAAUGUUGAAAACAAUGGUGCUGUUCAUCAUGUUAUCAAAGUUAAUGAGGUUGGUGGGCAAAUAGCCAAGGAGUCAAAGCCUGAUCAGGUGAAGCAAACUGUG
RNAcentral lists this long non-coding RNA (1995 nucleotides) under Citrus sinensis (sweet orange). RNAcentral's name for it is "long non-coding RNA (CSIN_LNC001376)". Lineage: Eukaryota; Viridiplantae; Streptophyta; Magnoliopsida; Sapindales; Rutaceae. The record is from RNAcentral.